This 408-nucleotide ribosomal RNA is filed under the name uncultured Diversispora. RNAcentral's name for it is "partial 28S ribosomal RNA". Lineage: Eukaryota; Fungi; Glomeromycota; Glomeromycetes; Diversisporales; Diversisporaceae. The record is from RNAcentral.
GAGAGUUAAAUAGUACGUGAAAUUGUUGAAAGGGAAACGAUUGAAGUCAGUCAUGCUAGUGAAAAUUCAGUUUGGUGGGUUUUGGGUUCAGGAGUUGAGGCAGGGUCAAACCGUUUCUCUUUUGAACUUGGAAUUUGUCAGAUGCACUUUUUCUUUGGCAGGUCAGCGUCGAUUUCGGAGGUUGUAAAAUACUCGGGGAAAAGUAGCUCUGCUUCGGGAGAGUGUUAUAGACCUUGGGUGAUGCGGCCUGCGGGAUCGAGGAUUGCAGCAAAUGCUUUUGGCUUGUCGCCUGAUCUCUGGACGUCAUCUCGCUUGUAUCAACAUUCUUGGUACCGGUGAGUAAUGGUGCUCAUAGGUUAGAGCGAUCAAAAAUUUUGCUAAGGAUGCUGACGUAAUGGCUUUAAACGA